GACACUGAGGAGCGAAAGCGUGGGGAGCGAACAGGAUUAGAUACCCUGGUAGUCCACGCCGUAAACGGUGGGCGCUAGUUGUGCGAACCUUCCACGGUUUGUGCGACGCAGCUAACGCAUUAAGCGCCCCGCCUGGGGAGUACGAUCGCAAGAUUAAAACUCAAAGGAAUUGACGGGGCCCCGCACAAGCAGCGGAGCAUGCGGCUUAAUUCGACGCAACGCGAAGAACCUUACCAAGGCUUGACAUAUACAGGAAUAUGGCAGAGAUGUCAUAGCCGCAAGGUCUGUAUACAGGUGGUGCAUGGUUGUCGUCAGCUCGUGUCGUGAGAUGUUGGGUUAAGUCCCGCAACGAGCGCAACCCUCGUUCUGUGUUGCCAGCAUUUAGUUGGGGACUCACAGGAGACUGCCGGGGUUAACUCGGAGGAAGGUGGGGAUGACGUCAAAUCAUCAUGCCCCUUAUGUCUUGGGCUGCACGCAUGCUACAAUGGCUGGUACAAACGGCUGCAAUACCGCAAGGUGGAGCGAAUCCGAGAAAGCCAGUCUCAGUUCGGAUUGGGGUCUGCAACUCGACCCCAUGAAGUCGGAGUUGCUAGUAAUCGUAGAUCAGCAACGCUACGGUGAAUACGUUCCCGGGGCUUGUACACACCGCCCGUCACAUCACGAAAGUCGGUAACACCCA
RNAcentral lists this ribosomal RNA (679 nucleotides) under uncultured Actinomycetes bacterium. RNAcentral's name for it is "bacterial SSU rRNA". It matches the Rfam family "Bacterial small subunit ribosomal RNA", at positions 742 to 1423 of the family's 1533-position model. Lineage: Bacteria; Bacillati; Actinomycetota; Actinomycetes. The record is from RNAcentral.